UCUGAAGCGGCCAAGUCCUUCCUGCCUCUGUCGACUAAACUUCCGUGAUGGGCAUCACCUCUGCCCUCCUCCAAGACGCUUUGGAAACAGGGACUUCUGCUCCAAACCCCAGGCCUACAACUUCGUCCUCAACCACCGGGCGAGAGUUAGGACCAGUCUUCCAGUGCCCGCGCCACGAAAGACAGCAUCCUCUCAACUCCGGGACCUUCCCCUCCCCAAGACCGACGCGAGUUGGUGAAGUCCCAGCGCCCCUGCCCAGGCCGGGCUGCGACGGGUACCCGAAGGGCCCAGGACGCGACCCAACCGGCCACCACCACAGGUGUCCCCUGGCACAACGCCGACUGGAGAGCGAGGAGAGAGCCGGCCAGGGAGCCUCUUGGAAAUGAAUUAAAAGUCUUUGACUUCUUCAACAAACUCUUGAGAAUGGUGAGAAGGCUCCAGAUAACAAGUAUGUUUUAUCCUAGGAGCAAACUUCAGAGCCUCUUCCCAUCUUCCCAACUGGCAUUUGAUCUAAGGAUCCAGCCUGGACCAAGAUCACACCCCGAGGCUCACCCCACUCUGUGGCUUGCUGAUGUUAAUCUCCUAGUCCUCCAACGAGCAACCCAGGACAGGAAGACUGUAUCACCUGAUCAGCCUGAGGCAUAAGGCUCAGACAGCUCCCAGACUAUCCCAAGCUCCAGGGAGAAAGAAUAAAAUCUCUCAGAGCAGACUUGACUGCUUUCCACUGAUAAGCACUGGACAGCCUGGUGAAUUAACCAGAGGCAGACCAAGGCUGGUGACGACUCCUCUACUCUGUCGAGUUAGAGUGUUACCCAAAGAAUUCCCCUCAACCCGGGACGGUGUGAUGUGUUUCACGGUGGUUUCAUUUCAGUCGUCUUAGUUGCCAUUAAGUUUUUCAUUCUCCAUGGAUUUUGGCUGGCACUGCAUCAUGCAGUCCUAUCUCCUAAAACUUUCACCUUCUCAACCAGGGAGCAGAGCCCCUGGGAAAAACGGUACCCAAAGUCAAACAUAAGGGAAGCUCCAAAAGCAGGCACUUUGGUUUGAUCCAUGGAUGUGAUGUACAAAAAUGCUAGGAAAACAGUCUUCCUUUCAAUCCGAGAGAAGCGCCCAUCUUUUGGAGCCCUUCUUCCUGACCCAACCCUUCUUAUGUUCUGGGCCUGGCCACUUACAGCUUGAAAGGGGACCCAAUUGGGAGAGGACACCUUCUCAGAGAUGACCUUUAUUUGGAGGCCACUACCACAAACCACCACAUCCAAGAACAUUUUUUCAGCCUGACCUGGGCUUCUCAUCAGAGAAUGGCCAAACUGGGCCACUGGACUCUUUUACACCACUUAGAAAGAGCUCUAAGCUGGCAGCCAGUGUUCCUGCUCUGCCCCAUCUACUGGCCAGAGCCUUGUCUGCCCACGGUGGCACAGAGCACACCACCAUGAGGACAACAUGGGGGACAGAGAAACAGGGGUGUCUCCAGCAAGAAGCGCAGAGACAGUGUCCUUAUCCUGUGUCCCUGUAGCCCCAAGCAAGUCUUCAGGGCCUGAUUUUGAGCAAACCUGCAUCUGAGUGAACCAGUCACGCCCUGUCUUCUGUGUAUGGACUCAAACAACCAAGUGCUGUGAUGCUCUGGGCUGGGGUGGGAAAGAGAAGGGGCCGAGGUCAAGGUCGGAUCACUGAGAGUACUGGGCUUGAUUAUCUCUACUCACACUGACUCCUUCCUGAAUAGCUUGCCUCAAUGUCUGUCAACAAAUGAACUUGUAUUAGGCGGUAACACCAAUCAGAGCAACUUACAGGAAAGGCUUUUCUGUUGGAACAGGGCAGGAGCCGUGCUGUUGGGCUAAGGUCCAAGCGGGGACAUGGGCUCCAGGAAAGCGACAAUCCGUUUGUGGAUGGGAACAAUGAAGGAACAUGUUGUCUCGGAACCUGAGCGACAUACUGUACUGUCCCCUCAGAUGUCAGGCUGCACGCCUGCUCCACCCACCUCGGAAUAUGACGUCAGAGUACGAGACUGUGCCCCACAAUCUGUUCCCGUACAGGGGCCCAAAGGUCACAGCCCAUGAAGGAAUUCAGCCAAGGUCCCAGGGCUUGGCCUUCUCUUCCUCAGAAGGAUGCAGACGUCGUCAGCGGCCCCUCGCCCUCCUCACCAGUCUGGUCUUAUAGGACUGAGACCAAUGAGGCUCACGCAAGGAAAAUCUCCCUACAAGAACACCCAGCAACAGUCCGGUACAAUCACGAUUACAGGGAGGAGCCCUUAACGUGGCACAGGAAGGUCCCGUUCCAGCCACAGGUGCUACAGAGCAUUUCCUUCAGCGGAUGCAGGGCCACACCUGACUGGCCGCCCCAGGCUGCAGACAGUGCAAGAGGACAUGCAGUGGGGGCAGAGCCUUGGGGAUGUGUUUCUGUUUGAAUGGUGGGGAGUCAAACAUAAUGGAGGUUUGAGGCUGUCUUCCCACAGCUCCUGGGAUUGCUGUGCCUCUCCCUCAACCCCUUCCUUCCUUCCUUCCUUCCCCAGAACAGACAGUUUUCUAGAAGGAGAACGUUCACAGGAUGAAGCAACAGGGUUCCAUCCAGGGAGGUUCACCGCACACUGGAUCCUAGCACACGGACUAGCAGCCAAGGAGGUAUCCUGAGCCUCUAGAAAGGAUGUUACAUCUCAAAGACAAGAGAAGGUCUAGACAUCUUGCCCGCUCGAUUUAGGGAAUCUUCGAAAGGAGCCGCUGAAAUGUGCAUUCCAGCCCUGUGAGAAGACAGCCCUUCAAGCAAGGAAGGUUGGUGGAAGGUAGGAGAAGCAAAGGCCCUGAGGCAGGGCUGUAAACAUUGUGCUUUUCUAAGGCCAACCUGGUGCAUGGCUUUGGCAACUAUGGUUACAUCUCCAAAAGGUGGUGAAAAAUAUGCUUUGGGAGGAGUAGAGUCCAUCCACAUCCUAAAACGCAGCGUGGGGCUAAGGCUGGGGGAAGAGGGAGAGAAAACGCUCCUUCCUCAGCCAGGGGCUGUGGGGUGGCUACUUGGGUAAAUCCCUCAUCAUGUCCUACGUUCACACUUACACACUGAGCACAGGGAAGGGAUGCUUGGACAGCGUGGAGGAAGUGAUGAUGCCUGCAUCAGUUAGGUAACGUGGCUCUAUAAAGGGCAGAAACGCUCUUGCAAGGUCAAGAAAGUGACAAAACCUCUCUGGACAUCCUGGUCAAGCCCCAGCCAGCUGGACCCCAUCAGCCUCAGGCAAAGACUGCCAUGCCUUGAGGAAAGGCCAGGUGAGUGCAGGCACCAAGUCCCCGCGGGCCACCAGCCCUGAGCCUGGCCCCGAGGUACAGCCAGGGAGACUGGAGCCACACCUCCAUCCGCCAGGAGCUGUGCCUCAGGACCCGGUCCUCACCUCUGUAGGUCUGGGGCUGCCAGGAGCCAUGCCAGGGGUCUCGCUCCCAGAGCCCAGGGAGAAUGGGCACCCUCCCUGAUGGGACUCUGCUCCCUCCCAGGGCUACUCACCACCAUGUGAUCUUGAACUCAUAGAUGGGGCGCUUGCAGUAGUAGUGGUUGAUGAGGUGCUUGUCACACACCCCGAUGCACUGGUGGUCCACGGUGAGGCCCUGGGCUGACAGGUCCGUGACCAGGCAGUGCAGCAGGUCGUAAACGUCAGCCACAGCCUCCCAGGGUCCGAAAGACACGUCUACUUCGCAGUGGUGCUCAAAGAGCUGCCCAUCACUCUCGUUCCGCUCGAAGCGCAGGGAGUUGAGAAGCGGACACUCAUAGGGGGUGAUGGGCAUCUCCUCCUUGAAGACACAGACCUUGAGCUUGGCAAAGCGGGCCUUCCGCUGGACAGCACGCAGCCGGGCAAUCUCCACGAUCCGCUCCAAGUGGUCUAUGGGGGUGAACACAGCACCCAUCACUGGGACGGGGGUGGGGCAAGGCAGUGUGGGGUCACAGAGAGAGCCCCAGUGACAGCGGGGUCCAAGAAGGAAGAGACGGAUCCCUGGGGAAGAGGCUCUGUGGGCCUGGGAAGGGCACAAACUUAAACAGGGAUCCAGGCUCUGCACCGCAAAAGGAAAGCAAGGGGAUGGGAUGGGUAUCAUCCUUUCAAAAUGCGAUUUGAUAAUUCUGCAGGCAACGUGAGCCUGUUUAACCCGAAUCGUCCCCGUGUGACUGGGAGGGAGGCAGGAGGCGGGCAGGAUGUCCUCUCUGAGUAAUAGAGAUGCACCAUGGAUCCACUUGUUUUGGGGGAGACCUCAGCACGGACAGAUGCCUUCAGCCCUUCUUCCUCACUCCCCGACUGCCCUGGGCAGUUGACCCCUCACCUUUGUAAUAGGGCAUGAGUCCCAGAAAGGCCUGGCGCACUUUCUCCCCCUUCAGCGGCUGCAUGUUCUCCAGCUGCUCCAGGAGGGGCCCGAUGGCAUAGUACUGGGCCUCUUUGUACACAGCCCGCACGCGCUCCCGGGGCGGCAGGUCCCCCGAGCGCAGGAAAUUCAGCACAUCUCUGAGCAGGAAGGAAAGAGGUGGGUGAGAAGGAGCUAACGGACCUGGACAGAGCCACACAGUGGUCAGAACACGGAUUCUGGAGCCAGACGGCCAGCUGUGUAGCCUUAAGUAAGUGAACUUAACCCCUCUGUGCCUUGAUUUUCUCAUCUGUAAAAUGGGAGGGGGAAUAAGAAAACUAUCCCAAAAUGUUAUGAAGGAGUUAAAUAAUAUAUAAAAAGUGCUUUGAAAAUUCCUGGCACAGAGCAAGCCCUCUGUGUCAGUAGCUGUCAUUACCAUUAUCGUGAUUACUGUAAUUACAAUUAGUAUUAGGUAUAUCAGGUGUUGUUAUUAUUAGGCAUAUACAGGAAAAAAUAGAAAGAUAUGAUAUCUGGUCCCUUAAUAUAUAUAUUUUAAUUGAAAUAUUGUUAAUAUUCAAUAAAUGUACAAAUAUUAA
Molecule: RNA transcript, 4894 nt
Organism: Camelus dromedarius (Arabian camel)
Lineage: Eukaryota; Metazoa; Chordata; Mammalia; Artiodactyla; Camelidae
Gene name: T-box transcription factor TBX6-like
Exons: 3
Source: RefSeq, a predicted model, not a curated record